UCUGCGAGGCCACAGGUGCUGGGGGGACAUCAGUAGCUUGUGAGUCAGAUGAGCCACCACCCAGGGGCUCCAAAUCCUUGGCAGAGCCCAAGCCCGCCCUCACACUUUUCUCUUUACACCAGGAUGUCUUAACGCACACGCCCACAGGGCCAGGCUGAUGAGGUCCCACCAAAACUGGAGUGAACACAUAACCCCCCAACGACAGGGGCUACGGGAAAGGGGACAGCAGCAAUGUGGUGCCAGGUGCUGCAAAGCAGGAGGGGAAGAAGGGACUCCGACUGAGGGGAGCUGAACUCCGACCAGGCAGUGAGGAAGCCACCACCACGUAGGUGGCCAACCCCCAACCCACAUCACACCCCAAGCCCUCCAAAGGAACUGCCUGCACCAGAAAGGCCCUUCCUUCUCUGCGAAAUCUAACACCCCAAAGGGAAAGACCCAGAGAUACUGACUUGGCCGAGUCCCCCACAGGCCCACCCUGGCUCCUGUCACUAAAGCACAGCCAACAAACUCCCCGCUGAGCUCAGGGCUCCCAGGGAGCUUUCUGUCCUCCACUCUUAUCUUGGAGACAACCAAGAUUCGUGGGAGGUAGAAGGCCUCUACCUCGAAGUGAGAGACCAAGCUAAAAAAAAAAAAAAGAAAAAAAAAGGCAACUUGGAAGAAACAGAGACUAUGCAGGGAGGAAAAAACCUGCAAAGAACUAUCACUAACCUCGGGAGAAAAGAGAAGAGAUCACACCCACAAAAUAAAAAUAGGACACUGCUUAAAAAAAAAAAAAAAAAGAAAAAAGAAAAAAGUCAAAACAAAAAUGGAAUCUUAGAAAUUAAAAACAUGGUGGUAGAGGGGUUCCCUGGGUGGGUCAGUCAGUAAAGCUUCUGACUCUUGGUUUUGGCUCAGGUCAUGACCUCAUGGUUUGUGGGAUCGAGCCCUGUGUCAAGCUCUCCGCUAACAGUGAGGAGCCUGCUUGGGAUCCUCUCUCCCCCUGCCCCUCCCCAACGUGCACACAUGUGUGCUCAUGCUCUCUCAAAAAUAAACAAAUAUUAAAAAAACAUAACCAUGAUAGAAAUAAAAUAACUUAACAAAAGGUGUAGAGGAUAAACCUGCACAAUUUCCCAGAAAGUAAAGCAUAAAGAAAAUGUGGCAGAAAAAAAUUUACAGGAUGAUUAAAGGGAUCCAACAUCUUGAGUAACAGGUCACAGAGAAAACAAAGAGAGAAGACAAAAAUGGUAUACAAAAUUAAAGAACAUUUCCCAAGCCAUGGACGUGGCUUCUAGACUGAAAAGGUGUAUCGAGUGGCUAGUGCAAGAGAUGUGAACAGACCCCUCUUCAAGACAUAUUGCAAAAUGAUACUGGGGAUAAAGACAAUUCUACAAACUUCCAAAAUGGAAAAAGAGGUCUUACAGAAAGAUCAAGAAACUGAAUGGCCCCAGAUACCUCUUCACAGAAAUGUCCUCAAAAUGAUGUAAGAAAAUUAUUUCCAAUCUAGAUUUCCAUACCUAAAUUGGCAAUCAUGUAUGAGAAUAGAAAAAAGGCAUUUUUAGCCACACAAAGUGUGCAAAACAAAAUUUACCUCUCAAGUAGCUUUUCUAAAAAAAACUACUGGAGAAUGGACUCUACCAAGAGAAAAGAGAAAACCAAGAAAGAAGCAAGGGAUACAAAAAACGGAAAAGCUAACAUAAGGCAGACGGAAGGGAACCCUCAGGGGAACAGUGAAGGGGACUCCCAAGAUUUCCGCACUGCUGGGGACAAGGUCACACGUGUGCAUGGGGCAGGGGCACGAGAGACAGACACGCUGAAGACUGCCACUGUCACCAACCAAGCUGCCAUCAGGCCACUCUUUUACCUGAGGGCAGGCAAGCCAGCCCAGGGCCUUGGCUUAUGUUGACCGUAUGCAGGCGACACUCACCAUGCCCUCCCCCCACACCCUGAGGCUCUGCCGAGGACACGUGUGUUCUGCCGUGGUUGCUCCGCACAGGAGAGCUCUGGUCCCGGAGGGUUUGGAUCAGAACACGUAGAGCAGUCCCUCCCUCUGACCACACUUCUGCUGGUCGCCAGUCACUGCGUCACUCUGCGGCCCUGCCAGCGCUCUCCCUGUGCCAGGCCCUUGGUUUCCGAGAACUCCCUCAUGACUCUUCCUACCGACUCCCCUGGAAGGGACCCAGUCCAGACGAGACUGCAGAUCUUAUCUUUCACCGGGAGACUUCACAGAUGUGGAAUAUUGACCUGUCCUUGCCUCAUCAGGGGUGGGCUUACUACUCAGGUCUUCACGACUGAAGAAUGUAUUAUUUGGAGCUUCGCACUAGGUGGUAAACUAUCAAAUAAGCCAAGAACGAUUAACAUAAACUUGGGAGAAUGGUAAUUUGUGACGAGAGGGAGCAAGACGCAGCUGAGGGAGCCUGUCGAGCGGACUUCUGAGAUACGAGUCAUGUUUCCGAUUCUUCACCUGGGUAAUCAGUACACAGGUGUUCGUUUCAUUACUGUUUAAAGUGUACCUGAUUAAAAAAGUCCUCUGUAUAUAUGAUAGAUUUCACUAUAAAAUAUAUAUUUUAACAACAGUCAAGUAUUCCGAUUCCUUGAGACUCAAGAAGCCACUAGAAGCAGCCCGGCAGACCCUGCUUCUGCCAGCACUCACCAAUUUUUGCAGGCCUUCCUCUUUUUCCCUUCUCCACAUGAAGGAGCCCGCAGGGAGGCUGGAUCCGGCUUCUUAAAAUCUUCUGGAUCCAGCAGCUCAUCGGAGUCGAUGAGAUCCUGGAGAGUGUUCGAAGAAGUUAGUGACACGGUCACGAUCUCUGCUAACAGAAGGCUGAAAAAAGGGUUGUGGUGGCAGCGGGUUUAUAGGUCCACGUAAAGAGGGUCUCCACUGCCCUAUUCUGGGCUGAUCAUCACACUCCAGCUGACCACUGGAGGGAUCUAAACUAUGUCCACAGAAGAUGCAUUCGGUUGUGAGGGGACUGGGAAGUAAUUUACAACGUGCAGAGAAUGUGAGUGUGUGUGUAUGUAGGGAGGGAGCAGGAAGAACAAAAAGAGAAGUGUUAUAUUUAUUCAAAUAUAUGAAGGGCUGUCAUGUGAAAAAGGGAAUGAAAUAUGUUUUAUAUCAUUCCCGAGAAAAAGACAAAUAACGAUACAUACAUGUGUGCAAUUCUUUGAUAAAUGUGUGGACAAUUCAUCUGUAAGUUCUACGGGG
Neofelis nebulosa (Clouded leopard) is the source of this 3181-nucleotide long non-coding RNA. RefSeq lists it as uncharacterized. Lineage: Eukaryota; Metazoa; Chordata; Mammalia; Carnivora; Felidae. The transcript has 2 exons. The record is from RefSeq and is a predicted model, not a curated record.